AAAUAACAAGGGAGGACUGUACACAUUUAUUCUGGACUCUUUUAUCCCUAACACAUUCCUAGAAACCUCCAAAACCUGCUACAGUAAAUUCCCAUUGUCUUGUUUCAAAAAUAGUGAAUAACCUGUUGGUAUUUAUUGGUCCCACUGACAAUGAUAUGAAGAACAAAAGAUUUUUUAAAUAACUAUUUCUUGAAAUGAGCAUUCAUCUAUUAAAAUGGCACAAUUUUUUAAAAAUAGGAGGGGU
This 244-nucleotide long non-coding RNA is filed under the name Bos taurus (domestic cattle). Its description in RNAcentral is "long non-coding RNA NONBTAT018487". The record is from RNAcentral. Lineage: Eukaryota; Metazoa; Chordata; Mammalia; Artiodactyla; Bovidae.